GAUGAACGCUGGCGGCGUGCCUAACACAUGCAAGUCGAACGGAAAGGCACAAGCUUGCUUGGGUACUCGAGUGGCGAACGGGUGAGGAACACGUGGGCGAUCGGCCCUGCACUUUGGGAGAAGCCUGGGAAACGGGGUCUAAUACCGGACAGGAUCACACCUUGGAUGGUGUGGUGGAAAGCUUUUCGGGGUGGGAUGAGCUCGCGGCCUAUCGGCUUGUUGGUGGGGUAAUGGGCUACCAAGGCGUCGACGGGUAGCCGGCCUGUGAGAGUGUACGGCGACACUGAGACUGAGAUGCGGCAGAGGCUGCGACUGUAGGAAGCAGUGCGGAAGAUUGCACCAUCGGCGCCGGCCUGAUGCAGCAGCGCCGCGUGUGGGAUGACGGCUUUCGGGUUGUAGACUACUUUCGCUAGAGACGACGCGUGAUGUGACGGUACCUGAAGAAGAAGCACCGGCUAACUUCGUG
This 466-nucleotide ribosomal RNA is filed under the name uncultured bacterium. RNAcentral's name for it is "partial 16S ribosomal RNA". It matches the Rfam family "Bacterial small subunit ribosomal RNA", at positions 28 to 507 of the family's 1533-position model. The record is from RNAcentral.